GUGUAAAUCCUAGCUCACUCCAACCAGUCCCCCAUUCUCCUCCCCAACUCCCUUGCGGCUGCGCUGCCGCCGUCACUUCUUCUCCAGUUCGCCCCUCACCUCUCCCCUAGUCAUCCCAAUCCACUGUGUCGGUGAGGAACUGAGAGAGUGAGAGAUUCGGUGUCCAUGGAGGCUACGGGAUCCACCAUUGGCAGCCGGUGAAUCCCUUCUUCCUCCUCCUGUCCUCGAGCUCAGCGUUUUUCUACUGACCUCGACGUCCCUCAUCAAGGGACGACGACCGGCCGCCGCCGGAUCCAACGAAGACAAGCAAGGCCGUUGUCGUCGCUGCUGCCGGAUCCAAUCUUCAAGUCGAUGCUCCACCUCCUCCUGAGAAGAAGAAGCCACCACCACCAGAGAAGAAGAAGGCUCCACGACCAUCGUCCACCAAAGCUAAUCGUGGCCGGUGACCCGAAGCGACUUCCUCGACCCCGACCAACUGCGGCCAAGGGCGUUGAUCCAAAGCACCGGCGCUUGCACUCUAAGGAAGCUGAAGCUCUCUCCAAGAAGUCCAGCCGCAGUAUUCUUCACUCUCUCGGUGGACAUACAUACAAAGGACUUUGAUAUUUUAGAUUGGUGGAAAGUGGCAGGAACGCUCUAUCCUACUUUGAGAUUGAUAGCAAGGGAUAUUUUUGCAAUUCCUAUAACCACAGUUGCUUCAGAAUCUGCAUUUACCACUAGUGGGCGAGUUCUUAGUGAGCAUCGCAGCAGGCUGACUUCUCCAAUGCUGGAGGCUCUAAUGUGCUCACAGGAUUGGAUUAGAAACAAGUAUAAAGGCCUUGUUACUGAUGAAGGACAACCUAGCAGCUUUUGGUCUGCUCUUCAAGAAGUCCAAGAAGGCCUUCAGGAUCUUGCAAUUUAACUCCAGUAGGAGCACAGCAGAUUCCUCCCUGACCAUAUGUUCAGAUCCUUGAAACCAACUGUCAAGAUGGCGUGCUGUCCAAGUAAAUGUGAUCACAUUGUUCGACCAGCAUUAACAGUUUAACACUAACUAUUUAUGUAAGCUUUGGUUGUAACGAAUGAUGUGUGAUAACACUACUACUAUCUUGCUUUUGCUGCUGCUGCCAUGAACUUGAUACUAAGUUGAAUUGUUGUUGGUCAGUGGAUGACUAGAACUCUAGAACUGCUGUUAUCUAAUGUAAUGUCUGUGUGGUGAACCGGAAGUCUCGAACUGGUGAAUGGACUAAUGGAAUGAUGGUGAUUGGUGAA
Long non-coding RNA from Setaria italica (foxtail millet), 1245 nucleotides. RefSeq lists it as uncharacterized. The record is from RefSeq and is a predicted model, not a curated record. The transcript is spliced from 4 exons. NCBI's taxonomy places the organism in Eukaryota, Viridiplantae, Streptophyta, Magnoliopsida, Poales, Poaceae.